This 229-nucleotide ribosomal RNA is filed under the name uncultured bacterium. RNAcentral's name for it is "partial 16S ribosomal RNA". It matches the Rfam family "Bacterial small subunit ribosomal RNA", at positions 568 to 796 of the family's 1533-position model. The record is from RNAcentral.
UGCGCAGGUGGGCUUGUAAAUCAGUGGUGAAAUACUGCCGCUUAACGGUAGAACUGCCAUUGAUACUGCGAGUCUUGAGUAUGGUUGAGGUAGGCGGAAUGUGUUGUGUAGCGGUGAAAUGCAUAGAUAUGACACAGAACGCCGAUUGCGAAGGCAGCUUACUAAGCCAUUACUGACGCUGAGGCACGAAAGCGUGGGGAGCGAACAGGAUUAGAUACCCUGGUAGUCC